RNAcentral lists this ribosomal RNA (497 nucleotides) under uncultured bacterium. Its description in RNAcentral is "partial 16S ribosomal RNA". It matches the Rfam family "Bacterial small subunit ribosomal RNA", at positions 28 to 507 of the family's 1533-position model. The record is from RNAcentral.
GAUGAACGCUGGCGGCGUGCCUAAUACAUGCAAGUCGAGCGAACAGAUGAGGAGCUUGCUCCUCUGACGUUAGCGGCGGACGGGUGAGUAACACGUGGAUAACCUACCUAUAAGACUGGGAUAACUACGGGAAACCGGAGCUAAUACCGGAUAAUAUAUUGAACCGCAUGGUUCAAUAGUGAAAGACGGUUUUGCUGUCACUUAUAGAUGGAUCCGCGCCGCAUUAGCUAGUUGGUAAGGUAACGGCUUACCAAGGCAACGAUGCGUAGCCGACCUGAGAGGGUGAUCGGCCACACUGGAACUGAGACACGGUCCAGACUCCUACGGGAGGCAGCAGUAGGGAAUCUUCCGCAAUGGGCGAAAGCCUGACGGAGCAACGCCGCGUGAGUGAUGAAGGUCUUCGGAUCGUAAAACUCUGUUAUUAGGGAAGAACAAAUGUGUAAGUAACUAUGCACGUCUUGACGGUACCUAAUCAGAAAGCCACGGCUAACUCCGUG